GAAAAGAAACCAACAGGGAUUGCCUCAGUAGCGGCGAGUGAAGCGGCAAGAGCUCAGAUUUGAAAUCGUGCUUUGCGGCACGAGUUGUAGAUUGCAGGUUGGAGUCUGUGUGGAAGGCGGUGUCCAAGUCCCUUGGAACAGGGCGCCCAGGAGGGUGAGAGCCCCGUGGGAUGCCGGCGGAAGCAGUGAGGCCCUUCUGACGAGUCGAGUUGUUUGGGAAUGCAGCUCCAAGCGGGUGGUAAAUUCCAUCUAAGGCUAAAUACUGGCGAGAGACCGAUAGCGAACAAGUACUGUGAAGGAAAGAUGAAAAGCACUUUGAAAAGAGAGUGAAACAGCACGUGAAAUUGUUGAAAGGGAAGGGUAUUGCGCCCGACAUGGGGAUUGCGCACCGCUGCCUCUCGUGGGCGGCGCUCUGGGCUUUCCCUGGGCCAGCAUCGGUUCUUGCUGCAGGAGAAGGGGUUCUGGAACGUGGCUCUUCGGAGUGUUAUAGCCAGGGCCAGAUGCUGCGUGCGGGGACCGAGGACUGCGGCCGUGUAGGUUCA
RNAcentral lists this ribosomal RNA (542 nucleotides) under Pichia kudriavzevii. RNAcentral's name for it is "partial large subunit ribosomal RNA". It matches the Rfam family "Eukaryotic large subunit ribosomal RNA", at positions 56 to 609 of the family's 3401-position model. Lineage: Eukaryota; Fungi; Ascomycota; Pichiomycetes; Pichiales; Pichiaceae. The record is from RNAcentral.